Molecule: long non-coding RNA, 680 nt
Organism: Dreissena polymorpha
Lineage: Eukaryota; Metazoa; Mollusca; Bivalvia; Myida; Dreissenidae
Exons: 4
Source: RefSeq, a predicted model, not a curated record
GCUACUCUUCAACUCGGAGGAUUUUUCGGUGGUUGUAAACGAUGACAACAGCGUCGAUGAAGGUCGUUGGUGAUUUAAAUGGGAUUCGUGCUUGAUUUGUUUAGAAAAAACAUCUUUACGGUUGAAUCCAGCAGGUGUGUGACAGAUGUUCAGACAAUUGACAAAGCAUUUGGUGACCAGUCUGUUUUUACAAUAACAUGGAAGUGAUUUACCUGAUGUCUUGCGGAUAAUGGUAGAAAUCCUGACAUAAUGGAUAUCAUGAUUUGCUGUAUAUGUCACCAUGCAGUUGAAGACAACCAAGGCUCUAAACUUACAGUAAAAGGAUGCAGUGGAAUAAAUGAUGCUAGCUUGAAGAGACAGGAUAAUGUUCAGGCUGUUCCAGGAAAUUUUGUUCACAUUGCAUGUCAAAAGACGUACACAAAUGCUAAUGUUAUUGUUCGCGAUACAAAAGAAAACCUUAGUCCAAACACCAGAUUUGUGAGGUCUAAAGCUGAUGUAUUGAAUUUUCAAGAACAUUGUAUAUUUUGUGGUCAUUCUGCUAAAUACAAUGACAGAAAACGCGGUUUGGAUGUUUUUCCAGUAAGGACAUUAAAGUUUCAAAAAACUAUAACAGAGUUGUGUUCAGCUAGAGGAGAUGAUUGGGCUGAUAAAUUGUUAAUAUGCCUUAUAUGAACAACGAU